AUCACCGAGGAGGGUGUUGGCCUGACUUGUGGGCAAAGAUUUUGAGUCAGGUGCAAAAACUUAAUUCUCUUUUGUAACCCAGAAUUCAUUGUUCUGUAUGAGUUCUGAUACAGAUGAAAAGCAACAUG
Molecule: small nucleolar RNA, 128 nt
Organism: Sorex fumeus (smoky shrew)
Lineage: Eukaryota; Metazoa; Chordata; Mammalia; Eulipotyphla; Soricidae
Product: small nucleolar RNA SNORA40
Exons: 1
Source: RefSeq, a predicted model, not a curated record